AUACGGAGGGUCCAGGCGUUAUCCGGAUUCAUUGGGUUUAAAGGGUCCGCAGGCGGGAAAAUAAGUCAGUGGUGAAAGCCUACAGCUCAACUGUAGAACUGCCAUUGAAACUGUUUUUCUUGAGUAUAGAUGAAGUGGGCGGAAUAUAUCAUGUAGCGGUGAAAUGAAUAGAUAUGAUAUAGAACACCGAUUGCGAAGGCAGCUCACUAAACUAUUACUGACGCUCAGGGACGAAAGCGUGGGGAGCGAACAGGAUUAGAUACCCUAGUAGUCC
RNAcentral lists this ribosomal RNA (274 nucleotides) under uncultured bacterium. RNAcentral's name for it is "partial 16S ribosomal RNA". It matches the Rfam family "Bacterial small subunit ribosomal RNA", at positions 523 to 796 of the family's 1533-position model. The record is from RNAcentral.